GAGUUUGAUCAUGGCUCAGGACGAACGCUGGCGGCGUGCUUAACACAUGCAAGUCGAGCGGGGAUAUUGAUUGGAAGGUUUCGGCCGGAAGGUUGAUAUUCCAGCGGCGGACGGGUGAGUAACGCGUGAGCAAUCUGUCCCAGACAGGGGGAUAACAGAUGGAAACAUCUGCUAAUACCGCAUAAGACCACGAGGUCACAUGAUCUUGGGGUAAAAAGGAGAAAUCCGGUUUGGGGUGAGCUCGCGUCCGAUUAGGUAGUUGGUGAGGUAACGGCCCACCAAGCCCGCGAUCGGUAGCCGACCUGAGAGGGUGAUCGGCCACAUUGGAACUGAGACACGGU
This 341-nucleotide ribosomal RNA is filed under the name uncultured bacterium. RNAcentral describes it as "bacterial SSU rRNA". It matches the Rfam family "Bacterial small subunit ribosomal RNA", at positions 9 to 330 of the family's 1533-position model. The record is from RNAcentral.